Molecule: ribosomal RNA, 479 nt
Filed under: uncultured bacterium
Lineage: Bacteria
Description: partial 16S ribosomal RNA
Rfam family: Bacterial small subunit ribosomal RNA
Source: RNAcentral
GACGAACGCUGGCGGCGUGCUUAACACAUGCAAGUCGAACGAAGCUUGAUUACGGAUUCUUCGGAUGAAGUAUGAUAUGACUGAGUGGCGGACGGGUGAGUAACGCGUGAGUAACCUGCCCUUCAGAGGGGGAUAGCGUUUGGAAACGAACGGUAAUACCGCAUAAUGUAUUUUGACCGCAUGAUCGAAAUACCAAAGAUUUAUCGCUGAAGGAUGGACUCGCGUCUGAUUAGGUAGUUGGUGGGGUAACGGCCUACCAAGCCGACGAUCAGUAGCCGGACUGAGAGGUUGAUCGGCCACAUUGGGACUGAGACACGGCCCAGACUCCUACGGGGGGCAGCAGUGGGGAAUAUUGCACAAUGGGCGCAAGCCUGAUGCAGCAACGCCGCGUGAAGGAAGACGGUUUUCGGAUUGUAAACUUCUGUUCUUAGUGAAGAAUAAUGACGGUAGCUAAGGAGCAAGCCACGGCUAACUACGUG